UUUGUGUCGAGUGGACAAGGUUCACGUUGUAACUUCUACUUCGGUCAGUUCCGCGGCUGCUCGGGCGCGAUCGGUUCAAAACAAGCGAUAGCGUCCACCGGCAUCUAUUUAGUUUGUUAUUAUCAACUAGUGUGCGCGAGAGUCGCCCCUUUCAACAGUUUUUUUUUUUUUGCUUGAAUAUUUUUUUACAACUGAUACUCAAUUAUGAAUUCAAAUAAUAAGGACGCGUCAAAAUCUGGAAUUAGUUCACAGUUAUCAAAUUACAACCCGUGGAAUUUGUUCACCCAGAGAUCCCGUACCGAAAGCGAAACCAGUAACAGCUCUACCAACCAAAAUUAUUCUACCGGUACACAGCACGGAUCCUUGCAGAGGCAGACAUGCAAAAGCAACGAAGAAUACCUUUGGAUGAUGUGGCGUUCCUAGUAGCACGUGUACCGUUAGCAGAACAGUUCUACUUUAUUAUAAGUUUCGAUCGUUCACAAACAUGAAUUUAAUCAUAUAUUGUGAAUAAUUUGGACAAUGUUGGAUCAAAUGGCUUUAAUCCCGUCUUGGUUGCUCAUGGCGUGGCUCGGAACGUGUAUCCUGUUCAGUCCUUUCGCCAUUUUUUUCGUGGUCUGCCUACCCCAGCUGCCACUUCUUGUUAUAAGAAGAGCGUGUCACAUACCAUUCGAGUAUAUUUGACGUGAAUUUGAUGGAAAGUGUAUAGAUAAGCCUGUAUAUAUUUGUAAAUAAUUAAUUAAUGAAUAAAAAAAUGUUAUGCUCAUA
Molecule: long non-coding RNA, 765 nt
Organism: Plodia interpunctella (Indianmeal moth)
Lineage: Eukaryota; Metazoa; Arthropoda; Insecta; Lepidoptera; Pyralidae
Exons: 3
Source: RefSeq, a predicted model, not a curated record